This 468-nucleotide ribosomal RNA is filed under the name uncultured bacterium. RNAcentral's name for it is "partial 16S ribosomal RNA". It matches the Rfam family "Bacterial small subunit ribosomal RNA", at positions 28 to 507 of the family's 1533-position model. The record is from RNAcentral.
GACGAACGCUGGCGGCGUGCUUAACACAUGCAAGUCGAACGGAAAGGCCCUGCUUUUGUGGGGUGCUCGAGUGGCGAACGGGUGAGUAACACGUGAGUAACCUGCCUUUGACUCUGGGAUAACUUCAGGAAACUGGGGCUAAUACCGGAUAGGAGCUCCGACUGCAUGGUGGGGGUUGGAAAGUUUCGGCGGUGGGGGAUGGACUCGCGGCUUAUCAGCUUGUUGGUGGGGUAGGGGAUUACCAAGGCUUUGACGGCGAGCCGGCCUGAGAGGGUGACCGGCCACAUUGGGACUGAGAUAGCGGCCAGACUCCUACGGGAGGCAUCAGUGGGGAAUAUUGCACACUGGGCGGAAGCCUGAUGCAGCAACGCCGCGUGCGGGAUGACGGCCUUCGGGUUGUAAACCGCUUUCGCCUGCGACGAAGCGUGAGUGACGGUAAUGGGUAAAGAAGCACCGGCUAACUACGUG